GGUUUCAUCUGCUCGCUGCAGGUUGACUUGGCCAAUCUUCAGAAGAAGGAAGAGGAAAAGGCACUCAAGGAGCUUAGAGCCAAGGCACAGAAAGGACCCGUUGGAGGUGCUGGACUCAA
Long non-coding RNA from Juglans regia (Persian walnut), 119 nucleotides. RefSeq lists it as uncharacterized. The transcript is spliced from 2 exons. The record is from RefSeq and is a predicted model, not a curated record. Lineage: Eukaryota; Viridiplantae; Streptophyta; Magnoliopsida; Fagales; Juglandaceae.